AGCGAACGCUGGCGGCAGGCCUAACACAUGCAAGUCGAACGAACUCUUCGGAGUUAGUGGCGGACGGGUGAGUAACACGUGGGAACGUGCCUUUUGGUUCGGAAUAACUCAGGGAAACUUGUGCUAAUACCGAAUGUGCCCUUCGGGGGAAAGAUUUAUCGCCAUUAGAGCGGCCCGCGUCUGAUUAGCUAGUUGGUGAGGUAACGGCUCACCAAGGCGACGAUCAUUAGCUGGUCUGAGAGGAUGACCAGCCACACUGGGACUGAGACACGGCCCAGACUGCGACGGGAGGCAGCAGUGGGGAAUCUUGCGCAAUGGGCGAAAGCCUGACGCAGCCAUGCCGCGUGAAUGAUGAAGGUCUUAGGAUUGUAAAAUUCUUUCACCGGGGACGAUAAUGACGGUACCCGGAGAAGAAGCCCCGGCUAACUUCGUG
Molecule: ribosomal RNA, 433 nt
Filed under: uncultured bacterium
Lineage: Bacteria
Description: partial 16S ribosomal RNA
Rfam family: Bacterial small subunit ribosomal RNA
Source: RNAcentral